This 492-nucleotide ribosomal RNA is filed under the name uncultured bacterium. RNAcentral's name for it is "partial 16S ribosomal RNA". It matches the Rfam family "Bacterial small subunit ribosomal RNA", at positions 29 to 507 of the family's 1533-position model. The record is from RNAcentral.
AGUGAACGCUGGCGGUAGGCCUAACACAUGCAAGUCGAACGGCAGCACAGUAAGAGCUUGCUCUUACGGGUGGCGAGUGGCGGACGGGUGAGGAAUACAUCGGAAUCUACUUUUUCGUGGGGGAUAACGUAGGGAAACUUACGCUAAUACCGCAUACGACCUACGGGUGAAAGCAGGGGAUCUUCGGACCUUGCGCGAUUGAAUGAGCCGAUGUCGGAUUAGCUAGUUGGCGGGGUAAAGGCCCACCAAGGCGACGAUCCGUAGCUGGUCUGAGAGGAUGAUCAGCCACACUGGAACUGAGACACGGUCCAGACUCCUACGGGAGGCAGCAGUGGGGAAUAUUGGACAAUGGGCGCAAGCCUGAUCCAGCCAUACCGCGUGGGUGAAGGAGGCCUUCGGGUUGUAAAGCCCUUUUGUUGGGAAAGAGAAGCAGCAGGUUAAUACCCCGCUGUUCUGACGGUACCCAAAGAAUAAGCACCGGCUAACUUCGUG